RNAcentral lists this ribosomal RNA (310 nucleotides) under Sphenorhina parambae. Its description in RNAcentral is "partial 12S ribosomal RNA". The record is from RNAcentral. Lineage: Eukaryota; Metazoa; Arthropoda; Insecta; Hemiptera; Cercopidae.
UUAUGAUCUUUAAAUUUAAAGAAUUUGGCGGUAAUUAAGUCUUUUUAGAGGAACCUGUUCCUUAAUUGAUAAUCCACGAUUGAUUUUACUUAAAUGAUACUUGUAUAUCUCUGUUAUUGAAUGUAUUAUUAGAUAAUUUUCAUUAUUUUAAAGAAUAAGAAAUAGUAGGUCAAGAUGCAGUUUGUAUUUAAGCGGAAAUGGGUUACAAUAAUUUUUUUUACUUGGAUUUACAUGUGUAAGUAUUUAAUGAAAUUGGAUUUAAUAGUAAUAUUUAAUUAGUAUAAUUAAUAUGAUUAAAGCUCUUAAUUAU